This 140-nucleotide ribosomal RNA is filed under the name uncultured Flavobacterium sp. Its description in RNAcentral is "partial 16S ribosomal RNA". It matches the Rfam family "Bacterial small subunit ribosomal RNA", at positions 382 to 520 of the family's 1533-position model. The record is from RNAcentral. Lineage: Bacteria; Pseudomonadati; Bacteroidota; Flavobacteriia; Flavobacteriales; Flavobacteriaceae.
CCUGAUCAGCCAUGCCGCGUGCAGGAAUAAGGUCCUAUGGAUUGUAAACUGCUUUUAUACCAGAAGAAAUAGUGCUACGUGUAGUAUGUUGACGGUAUCGUAUGAAUAAGCACCGGCUAACUCCAUGCCAGCAGCCGCGG